Molecule: long non-coding RNA, 203 nt
Filed under: Homo sapiens (human)
Lineage: Eukaryota; Metazoa; Chordata; Mammalia; Primates; Hominidae
Description: PREDICTED lncRNA (TCONS_00255696)
Source: RNAcentral
GAAAGAUUGAUUGGGCUGACUGGACUCUUUCUCCAUUCAAAAUAACCUUUCAUAUUUAUGCAACACAUAGUUUACCAACUUCACAGAAAUGAAAAACUUUGUGUGACGUGUUGGGGCUAACAAGAUGAAGAUGGACUCCUGCCAUCAUAAGGUUCCUGAUCUAGGCACAGGGAUUCCUGGAAACAAUUCCCCACAGAUAUCAA